RNAcentral lists this ribosomal RNA (197 nucleotides) under uncultured Thermosinus sp. Its description in RNAcentral is "partial 16S ribosomal RNA". It matches the Rfam family "Bacterial small subunit ribosomal RNA", at positions 335 to 523 of the family's 1533-position model. Lineage: Bacteria; Bacillati; Bacillota; Negativicutes; Selenomonadales; Sporomusaceae. The record is from RNAcentral.
ACCCCUACGGGGGGCAGCAGUGGGGAAUCUUCCGCAAUGGGCGAAAGCCUGACGGAGCAACGCCGCGUGGGUGAAGAAGGCCUUCGGGUCGUAAAGCCCUGUCAAUCGGGACGAAGUUUACUUAUGCGAACAGUGUAAGUAAGUGACGGUACCGGAGGAGGAAGCCACGGCUAACUACGUGCCAGCAGCCGCGGUAA